RNAcentral lists this unclassified non-coding RNA (2726 nucleotides) under Hermetia illucens (black soldier fly). RNAcentral's name for it is "slowpoke-binding protein, transcript variant X4". The record is from RNAcentral. Lineage: Eukaryota; Metazoa; Arthropoda; Insecta; Diptera; Stratiomyidae.
GUUAAAGAGCAAUGCAAUUUGAUUUUAAGGGAUCGACAUCGCACGUCUGGAUAACUGUACUCUGGUGUGCGUUCGGUGCAUUUAUUUUAGGUGCCAUAGCUGUCAUAUCGUAUUGGAUACGAAAAUGCAGGAUACAACGGGGCAACCACCACACAACAACAACAAUAAUAAUUCACAGCACCAAAAACAAAAAGACCAAAGUCAUCUUCAACAACAACAAUCACCUCCUCCUCCAACAUCCCAACAACAACAACAACAGCAACGUUCCGUGUCGAUUUUCGUCUAUAAAACGCUUAACACGGUUUUCAAGAGUAGUCGAAAGAUCAUUUUCCGCGUUUGUGAAGUUGCAAGUGCCAAAAAGUCCCUUAAAAUGUUUAAUUUAUAUUCUUCGAUGAAAAAUCGCGGUGAAGGUAACGGGCCUACCACAGGACACGAUCGAUUUUGUCAAACCCGUCUAACGAACAGAACAAAGAGACGUAAAAAUUCAAAAAACGUUCGUCGAACCAAUUCAGCCAACGAAAUCGAUCACACCGUCCUGACAGCGGCUGCCCGGCGUCAACUGUUUAGUAGUCAUCGAUCGGCCAGUUCAGAUCUAGAAAACUCAGAUCAUUCGGAACAUUCGGAAAAAUCGCCACUAGUCAGUGUCAGGCUAGAUAGUUUGGCUAAGAUAUUUUUCAACAAAUCAACAACGCCAUCAACAAACGGCACUACUAAUCGGGACUCGAUUGACUCAACAACGACAAGACCAAAUGUAAAAUACCAAUAUACAGCUUUAGAUAGCGGUAAUGGAAUACAGGAACGUAGCCCGCGAGAGAGAGCUGCCCGUGACCGUGCAUUGAGUGCCUGCCAAGAAUGGAUACAAAAUACAAAUGGUCGUUACGAUAUUAUUGCCCAUCUUGAUGAAAUCGGAUCACGACACAAUAAAAAUUGGUUUUUAAUAAAUGACACUACGGUACGAACUGAUCGUUUAAUGACAUUACUUCCGUUACCUCCAGACUGUAUUGCCUUAGAAGAACUGCCGCCAAGCGAAACACCUAAAGGAUUAUUUAUGGAACUUUUAGGAUCCUUACAUCAUCCAUACAUCUAUCCAGUUUUAGAUUUAGGAUUUUUACAUGCCGAUUCAAUUAAUUAUGCUUGUCUUGUAAUGCCCUUUAAUCCACGCGGAAGCCUUAAAGAUUUAAUUUAUAAAGCUCAAUGGAAUGAACCAUGGAAUCGUAAAUAUACGCGGAAACCAACAUGCCUCCCAAUUUCACAAGUACAACGAUUAGGUAGACAAAUUCUGGAAGCUUUACUAUUUUUACGUGAACGAGGAUUCGCAUUGCAUGGUCAUCUCCACAGCGGCAAUGUUAUCUUACAAAAUGGGGUGGCAAGGCUUUCCGGCUUGGAAAAUGGUUUAUUAGGUUUAAGUUCGCGAGUUAAUGCCGUUAUGUGGUCGCGCUCAAUUAGUGAUAUAGAUAAUAUCGAUAUAAUUUGCUUCGGACAUUUAUUGUAUGAAAUGUGCGUUGGAAGCGAACUGAAUACACCACAACCGUCCACAGCAUUUCUCGAAAUGGAGCUAGAUCGAUAUCCGCAGAUUUUAGAAGUCUUACAACUAAUAUUCGAACCACAAAACGGAAGCAAUGUUACCGUUGAAGAUCUAGUCCUUUGUGAUUUAUUUCGUAACAUCGAUUUGCGAGAACUCCGUGGUCCUUGCGUUAGUACAAUCAAACCCAGCUUAAGUAAAUCGACCUUAAAUCUUCUCCAAGCCGUCAAGAAGCGUCAAAGUGCAUCGUUGGGCGAAUCCUUCAGUGAAGCCAGUUCACCAUGUACGCCACCAUCCACCCCACGUGACCGGCGAACAGGGUUAGUUCGUACUAGUAAAAAACUGUCAUUUUUUUCAAAAUUUUAAAUGCAAGAACCUAACUAGGAGUAAACCCUAAAAUUAACAAAAAAAGGAUUUCAUUUUGAAAAGGAAAUGGUGUUGUGGUGUUCAUGUUGUGUCCGAACAAAAUGAAAAAAAAAAUUGAGUUUGAACGUUUUUUCCCUGUGUUUUCUAGUGUUCGUUAUCCUGUCCCUUACUUUGCGUUCUAAUCCUUGUCCUGUCAAAAGAAUAAAAUUUAAUUUUUUUAAUAAAGUUUUGAUAUUGCAUAAUUCCUCCCAGAAUUAUUUUAAUUAUCGUAAAUGAUAAUUUAUUUUUUGUAUAUUGUUUUUUGCAUGCAAGCAUUUUUUGUAAGAAUAUUUUUCUCGCUGCAUCCUCUGAAAAGUUUGAUUAUCGUUUAGUCUAAGAAUUUGUUAGAACUAAGUAUUGCCUAUAAUGAACGUUAAAAACUUGUAUGGACGUUAUUUUUUCAUUGGAGGUAAGAUUUCUUUCGAUAUUUCAAUUAAACAUUUCUUUUGUUGCUUGUGCUUUUUAAAUAUUGUGUUUUGAAUCGAUGUUUGUUGUAGAUUGAGAAUGUUUGAAACAUGUAUGUCGCUUUUACUAAAUGCAUGUUUAGGUGAGAGUAAUAUGCAUAAAAAAGCUUAGAUUGCUUCCAAUUUUAAGGACAAAAUUAUUGAACUGCAAGAAAAUCGCUCUAAUUCUUUUAACACUUCAAACAAUCAUGUAAAAUCAAUUAAUUUCCAAAGCACUAGAAGAUAGAUUAAAUAAAUAUGAUUUGACUACAAUAUGAACAAAAAACAUCCCCUUUACAAUUUUCUAUUUAUUUCAAAGAGAUUUUAUUUAAAAAAAUAAAAUAAAAAUAAUCCAA